CUGUCAGGACAUAAUGACAGGUUUAACAAAUAUGUAAAAAAUAUAUUUUUACAAAAGUUACCUACUGCAGCUUUAAAUGUAACUCGCUCCGCUUCUGAACAGCUGACAUCAUGGAGCCCUUUUUUUUAGCCCCUCCCCUUUAACUACAUGCCAAACAGAGACAACUGUAACCAAUUCCUGAAGGAAAAAAAGAGUUUUUUCAUGAGGAGUAAAGAGAUAUAUCACAUUAUGUGAUUAAAAAAGUUUGUACUGUAGAUACUUCAUGUUGACUACCAAUGUCUGUUUUGCAGGUAAGUAUCGUACACAUUUAGACUUCAACCCUAAUCAAACACACCUGAACCAGCUAAUUAAGGUCUCACUAGGAAUACUAGAAACUUCCAGGCAGGUGCGUUGAGGAAAACUGGAGCUAAACUCUGCAGAACUGAGUUUGGAGACCCCUGAUUUAUGUCAUUCUCUAUUGGUGAGAUGUGACAUCAGUCUGAAAAGCGUAGAAAAGACAUUAGCAGUCUGUCCAGGUAUCUGUCGUAAAUCUCAAAGUUUGAAUGGUCAAAACGAACAAGUUGUGGGGUCUCUCGUUCGUGGUUGGUCUCUAGGCGAGAUGUUUUCAUGUUUUUCUGUAUCUGUUUCCGCGGUGUUGUGUGAAUGUUAUCUGUUCUGGCUGCAGGAGAAUUUUCCGUGUAACUGGCUCUUUUCUUUUCCGUUCCUGCCAGAAGUUGGACCCAGCAGACCCAAAACCAAUUUCAUCAUCACUGCGGGACUGAGUCACACUGCUAAAGAGAGUGAGAGAUGAUCUGCUUGGCCAAAAAUACAUGAAUACUACACACCAGAUGGGAAUAAAGUGGAAAGUAAAUAGGAAAACAGAACGAAGGACAAAGAUGUACAAGGUUUCUGGCGAAUGGACCAUGACAUUUAAAAUCCCAAGUCUCAAAAACCGCAAAGACGAGUUAUUUCCAGAGAAGAUGCCACGGUCCGGAUCCUCACAGAAUCCCUCUCGCUGGUCCAGGUCUGGAACAUUCCAGAACAUUCUUUUACCUUUUCCAUUUUGAGGUUUGUGUCUCUUUAAAGGAACAGUUCAUUUAAAAUCAGGCCGUUCGUGACUUUCCAAACCUGACCUGGUUUCAAUACUGGAAAGCGAGAAGAGAAAUAUUAUUAAAUUAUCCAUAUGAUUCAUACAGUCUUAUGACAUCAUACGGUAGCUUUGUGUGAGAUAGGGUUAUUUUAGUUAAAG
Carassius auratus (goldfish) is the source of this 1228-nucleotide long non-coding RNA. RefSeq lists it as uncharacterized. The transcript is spliced from 3 exons. Lineage: Eukaryota; Metazoa; Chordata; Actinopteri; Cypriniformes; Cyprinidae. The record is from RefSeq and is a predicted model, not a curated record.